UAGGGAAUUUUGCGCAAUGGGGGAAACCCUGACGCAGCGACGCCGCGUGAGUGAAGAAGGCCUUCGGGUUGUAAAGCUCUGUCAGAUGGGACGAAUAAGUGGGCCUGAAUAAGGCAUCAUGAUGACGGUACCAUCAGAGGAAGCACCGGCUAACUCUGUGCCAGCAGCCGCGGUAAUACAGAGGGUGCAAGCGUUAUUCGGAAUUACUGGGCGUAAAGCGCAUGUAGGUGGUUUAUUAAGUCAGUUGUGAAAUCUCGGGGCUUAACCUCGAAAAUGCAAUUGAAACUGGUAGACUUGAGUCUGGGAGAGGGAAGCAGAAUUCCUGGUGUAGAGGUGAAAUUCGUAGAUAUCAGGAGGAAUACCGGAGGCGAAGGCGGCUUCCUGGUCCAGAACUGACACUGAGAUGCGAGAGCGUGGGUAGCAAACAGG
RNAcentral lists this ribosomal RNA (429 nucleotides) under uncultured bacterium. Its description in RNAcentral is "bacterial SSU rRNA". It matches the Rfam family "Bacterial small subunit ribosomal RNA", at positions 355 to 776 of the family's 1533-position model. The record is from RNAcentral.